AUACGGAGGGUGCAAGCGUUACUGGGAAUCACUGGGCGUAAAGCGCGCGCAGGCGGCUAUUUAAGUUGGAUGUGAAAGCCUACGGCUCAACCGUAGAACUGCACCCAAAACUAUUUAGCUAGAGUGUGGGAGAGGAAGAUGGAAUUAGUUGUGUAGGGGUAAAAUCCGUAGAGAUAACUAGGAAUACCAAAAGCGAAGGCAAUCUUCUGGAACACUACUGACGCUGAGGCGCGAAAGCGUGGGGAGCAAACAGGAUUAGAAACCCUAGUAGUCC
Molecule: ribosomal RNA, 274 nt
Filed under: uncultured bacterium
Lineage: Bacteria
Description: partial 16S ribosomal RNA
Rfam family: Bacterial small subunit ribosomal RNA
Source: RNAcentral